AGCAUGCGGAUUAAUUCGAUGCAACGCGAAGAACCUUACCAAGGCUUGACAUAUAGAGGAAACCGUGCAGAAAUGUACGCCCCGCAAGGUCUCUAUACAGGUGGUGCAUGGUUGUCGUCAGCUCGUGUCGUGAGAUGUUGGGUUAAGUCCCGCAACGAGCGCAACCCUCGUCCUAUGUUGCCAGCACGUAAUGGUGGGAACUCAUGGGAGACUGCCGGGGUCAACUCGGAGGAAGGUGGGGAUGACGUCAAAUCAUCAUGCCCCUUAUGUCUUGGGCUUCACGCAUGCUACAAUGGCCAGUACAAAGGGCUGCAAUACCGUAAGGUGGAGCGAAUCCCAAAAAGCUGGUCUCAGUUCGGAUUGAGGUCUGCAACUCGACCUCAUGAAGUCGGAGUCGCUAGUAAUCGCAGAUCAGCAACGCUGCGGUGAAUACGUUCCCGGGCCUUGUACACACCGCCCGUCAAGUCACGAAAGUCGGUAACACCCGAAGCCGGUGGCCUAACCGCAAGGAAGGAGCCGUCGAAAGGUGGGAUUGGUGAUUGGGACCUAAGUCGUAACAAGGUACC
RNAcentral lists this ribosomal RNA (566 nucleotides) under uncultured Actinomycetes bacterium. Its description in RNAcentral is "bacterial SSU rRNA". It matches the Rfam family "Bacterial small subunit ribosomal RNA", at positions 936 to 1500 of the family's 1533-position model. Lineage: Bacteria; Bacillati; Actinomycetota; Actinomycetes. The record is from RNAcentral.